GGUCAGUGAAGAAACUAUCCCAAACUUGAUUGAUUGCUUGAAGAAAAACACAUGUGAAUCUGAUUUCUAAGUU
This is a non-coding RNA of Columba livia (rock pigeon), 73 nucleotides long. The record is from Rfam. NCBI's taxonomy places the organism in Eukaryota, Metazoa, Chordata, Aves, Columbiformes, Columbidae.